This is a transfer RNA of Loxodonta africana (African savanna elephant), 71 nucleotides long. It matches the Rfam family "tRNA". Rfam says of the family: Transfer RNA (tRNA) molecules are approximately 80 nucleotides in length. Their secondary structure includes four short double-helical elements and three loops (D, anti-codon, and T loops). NCBI's taxonomy places the organism in Eukaryota, Metazoa, Chordata, Mammalia, Proboscidea, Elephantidae. The record is from Rfam.
CUCUGGGUGGCACAAAUGGGGAAGCACUUGGCUACUAACCAAGAAGUUGAUGGUUUGAAUCCACCCAGAGG